Molecule: ribosomal RNA, 390 nt
Filed under: uncultured bacterium
Lineage: Bacteria
Description: bacterial SSU rRNA
Rfam family: Bacterial small subunit ribosomal RNA
Source: RNAcentral
GACGAACGCUGGCGGCGUGCCUAACACAUGCAAGUCGAACGGAAGCAGAGAUUUCGGUUUCUGCUUUAGUGGCGAACGGGUGAGUAACGCGUGAGAAACCUGCCUCUCAGUGGGGGACAACAGUUGGAAACGACUGCUAAUACCGCAUAACACUUUAGUACCGCAUGGUACAGAAGUCAAAGCUUAAUGUGCUGAGAGAUGGUCUCGCGUCUGAUUAGCUAGAUGGUGGGGUAACGGCUCACCAUGGCGACGAUCAGUAGCCGGUCUGAGAGGAUGAACGGCCACAUUGGGACUGAGAUACGGCCCAGACUCCUACGGGAGGCAGCAGUGGGGAAUAUUGGGCAAUGGGGGAAACCCUGACCCAGCAACGCCGCGUGAAGGAAGAAGGCC